Molecule: ribosomal RNA, 253 nt
Filed under: uncultured bacterium
Lineage: Bacteria
Description: partial 16S ribosomal RNA
Rfam family: Bacterial small subunit ribosomal RNA
Source: RNAcentral
UACGAGGGAUGCAAGCGUUAUCCGGAAUUAUUGGGCGUAAAGCGUUCGUAGGUGGCUAAGUUAGUCUGUCGUUAAAGCGUGGAGCUUAACUCCAUAACGGCGAUGGAAACUGCUUGGCUAGAGUAUGGUAGGGGUAAGAGGGAUUCCCAGUGUAGCGGUGAAAUGCGUAGAUAUUGGGGAGAACACCAGCGGCGAAAGCGUCUUACUGGGCCAUUACUGACGCUGAGGGACGAAAGCUAGGGGAGCGAAAGGG